This 237-nucleotide ribosomal RNA is filed under the name uncultured bacterium. Its description in RNAcentral is "partial 16S ribosomal RNA". It matches the Rfam family "Bacterial small subunit ribosomal RNA", at positions 102 to 334 of the family's 1533-position model. The record is from RNAcentral.
CCGACGGGUGAGUAACACGUAUGCAAUCCACCUGUAACAGGGGAGUAACCGGAGAAAUCCGGACUAAUACCCAUAAUAUGGGCGCUCCGCAUGGAGAGUCCAUUAAAGAGAGCAAUCUUGGUUACAGACGAGCAUGCGCUCCAUUAGCCAGUUGGCGGGGUAACGGCCCACCAAGGCGACGAUGGAUAGGGGUUCUGAGAGGAAGGUCCCCCACAUUGGAACUGAGACACGGUCCAA